CAAUCGAACCCGGAGAUAGCUGGUUCUCCUCGAAAUAGCUUUAGGGCUAGCCUCGAUUUAGUCUUAUGGAGGUAGAGCACUGAAUUUCCGCGGGGGCGUCAAAGCUUACCAAAGAAUAUCAAACUCCGAAUGCCAUGUAGAUGAUGAACGGGAGUCAGACUGCACGAGAUAAGUUGGGCAGUCAAAAGGGAAAGAGCCCAGACCACCGGCUAAGGUCCCAAAGUGCGUGUUAAGUGGAAAAGGAUGUGGGAAUUCGAAGACAACUAGGAUGUUGGCUCAGAAGCAGCCAUACAUUCAAAGAGUGCGUAAUAGCUCACUAGUCGAGAGGUCCUGCGCCGAAAAUGUCCGGGGCUGAAACACGACACCGAAGCUUAGGAAUCACAUAGUGAUUGGUAGAGGAGCAUUCUUAAAACCGACGAAGCUGUACCGGAAGGAGCAGUGGAGGGAUAAGAAGAGAGAAUGCCGGAAUGAGUAGCGAGAGAAAGGUGGGAAUCCUUUCGGCCGAAUAUCUAAGGUUUCCAGAGUAAAGCUGAUCUGCUCUGGGUAAGUCGGGGCCUAAGCACAGGUCGCAAGACGUAAGCGAUGGAUAACAGGUUUAGAUUCCUGUACCACGCAUUAUCAGAACUGUAGGGACGCAUGUGGAAAGCACGAGCCGGGAAUGGAAAGACCGGUACAAGCGAGGUAGGUGUACAAUAGGCAAAUCCGUUGUAUGAUCCGAAGACGUGAUGUGGAGCGAAAUAAAGUAGUGAAGCGUGUGAGCCAUGUGCCGAGAAAAGCUGCUAUUGUGUAAUGCGUGCCCGUACCGUAAACCGACACAGGUGGAUGAGGAGAGAAUCCUAAGGCCGACGGAAGAAGCAUUGUUAAGGAAUUCGGCAAAAUGACCCCGUAACUUCGGGAGAAGGGGUGCCUGCGAGAGCAGGCCGCAGAGAAUAGGCUCAAGCAACUGUUUAGCAAAAACACAGGUCUAUGCGAAACCGAAAGGUGAAGUAUAUGGGCUGACGCCUGCCCGGUGCUGGAAGGUUAAGAGGAGAGGUUAGCGCAAGCGAAGCUUUGAAUUUAAGCCCCAGUAAACGGCGGCCGUAACUAUAACGGUCCUAAGGUAGCGAAAUUCCUUGUCGGGUAAG
Molecule: ribosomal RNA, 1124 nt
Filed under: human gut metagenome
Description: bacterial LSU rRNA
Rfam family: Bacterial large subunit ribosomal RNA
Source: RNAcentral